AACCUGGUUGAUCCUGCCAGUAGUCAUAUGCUUGUCUCAAAGAUUAAGCCAUGCAUGUCUAAGUAUAAACUGCUUUAUACUGUGAAACUGCGAAUGGCUCAUUAAAUCAGUUAUAGUUUAUUUGAUGGUACCUACUUACUCGGAUACCCGUAGUAAUUCUAGAGCUAAUACGUGCGUACAUCCCGACUUCUGGAAGGGACGUAUUUAUUAGAUAAAAGGCCGACCGGGCUUGCCCGACUCGCGGUGACUCAUGAUAACUUCACGAAUCGCAUGGCCUCGCGCCGGCGAUGUUUCAUUCAAAUUUCUGCCCUAUCAACUUUUGAUGGUAGGAUAGAGGCCUACCAUGGUGGUAACGGGUGACGGAGAAUUAGGGUUCGAUUCCGGAGAGGGAGCCUGAG
RNAcentral lists this ribosomal RNA (398 nucleotides) under uncultured marine eukaryote. Its description in RNAcentral is "SSU rRNA". It matches the Rfam family "Eukaryotic small subunit ribosomal RNA", at positions 1 to 400 of the family's 1831-position model. The record is from RNAcentral.